RNAcentral lists this ribosomal RNA (497 nucleotides) under uncultured bacterium. Its description in RNAcentral is "partial 16S ribosomal RNA". It matches the Rfam family "Bacterial small subunit ribosomal RNA", at positions 28 to 507 of the family's 1533-position model. The record is from RNAcentral.
GAUGAACGCUGGCGGCGUGCCUAAUACAUGCAAGUCGAGCGAACGGACGAGAAGCUUGCUUCUCUGAUGUUAGCGGCGGACGGGUGAGUAACACGUGGAUAACCUACCUAUAAGACUGGGAUAACUUCGGGAAACCGGAGCUAAUACCGGAUAAUAUUUUGAACCGCAUGGUUCAAAAGUGAAAGACGGUCUUGCUGUCACUUAUAGAUGGAUCCGCGCUGCAUUAGCUAGUUGGUAAGGUAACGGCUUACCAAGGCAACGAUGCAUAGCCGACCUGAGAGGGUGAUCGGCCACACUGGAACUGAGACACGGUCCAGACGCCUACGAGAGGCAGCAGUAGGGAAUCUUCCGCAAUGGGCGAAAGCCUGACGGAGCAACGCCGCGUGAGUGAUGAAGGUCUUCGGAUCGUAAAACUCUGUUAUUAGGGAAGAACAUAUGUGUAAGUAACUGUGCACAGCUUGACGGUACCUAAUCAGAAAGCCACGGCUAACUACGUG